RNAcentral lists this small RNA (794 nucleotides) under Histoplasma ohiense. RNAcentral describes it as "hypothetical lncRNA". Lineage: Eukaryota; Fungi; Ascomycota; Eurotiomycetes; Onygenales; Ajellomycetaceae. The record is from RNAcentral.
ACCCCAUAGCCGGUCCACUACAAAACACAUCAUUGUAGAGAGCACAGCGUGGACUAGCUCUCAAGAGCCGCGGACAUCAACUCGAUUUCUCGCAGAUUGCCAAUGCAAUCUGCCAGCCUCCCGUUAUAUAUAGAUAGAUGGGUGACCUUCCCGUCAAUAUUCUUUCUGUUUUCAUGCAUCUUCUCUAGUACCUGGCUUAUAGCAACAUCCGAUACUCAACAACAAAGGUCAUCCACUUCUGAUCACACCCCGGUCUUUCGAGCAAAAUAGCAGAGAAGUGCGUACAAGCUGGAUGUAACAACUGGGCUUUGAGUGGUGGGCGCUUCUGCGCCAAUCAUAAGCCUCCUGGAUCUCAGCAGAAACCUGCAGUGGAAAUCCACAGUGACGGGACUCGGAUUCCCGGUCUCGCAAACGACUGUCAAAGACCACUGAAUCUUGUAGCUGGAUCGCUUUGUUGAUUGUCAUUUGGACUGUUUUUGAAGAGCAUGGAUGGUAGAAGAGGGAAUGGGGAAGACAAUGAGCAAAGGGAAGGGUAUCGAGAAAAGAGACUGUGUUGGGGCGAGUAGAUUAGCUUCUGUCGUGGUAACGGUGUACGGAGUAGUACUUUGAUGAGAUCCACUCGCCAUGCCACUCCACCGCACGUGAUUACCCCUAUAUAGUUGAAGAUUAACCAUCCCACAUAAACAUCAGGAACUGCCCUGAGUGUGUCGGCUUGGCUGGAGAAAAGCUCGGAGGUGGGGCCUUUCACCUUCCGAGGAGUCAAUUGAUCAUGUGCCUAGUGCCAUUUGUUUUAA